GGAGGAUUUAGCUCAGUAACAGAGCAUUCGACUGCACAUCGAGAGGUCCCAGGUUCAAUCCCGGGUGUCCCUCCUUCA
This is a non-coding RNA of Trichonephila inaurata madagascariensis, 78 nucleotides long. The record is from the annotation of a GenBank genome assembly. Lineage: Eukaryota; Metazoa; Arthropoda; Arachnida; Araneae; Nephilidae.